This 253-nucleotide ribosomal RNA is filed under the name uncultured bacterium. RNAcentral's name for it is "partial 16S ribosomal RNA". It matches the Rfam family "Bacterial small subunit ribosomal RNA", at positions 524 to 776 of the family's 1533-position model. The record is from RNAcentral.
UACGGGGGGGGCAAGCGUUGUUCGGAAUUACUGGGCGUAAAGGGCGCGUAGGCGGCCCGGUAAGUAGGGGGUGAAAUCUUGCGGCUUAACCGCAAGGCUGCCUUCUAAACUGCCAGGCUCGAGCACAGUAGAGGCAGGUGGAAUUCCCGGUGUAGCGGUGGAAUGCGUAGAGAUCGGGAAGAACAUCGGUGACGAAGGCGGCCUGCUGGGCUGUUGCUGACGCUGAGGCGCGACAGCGUGGGGAGCAAACAGG